UUUUUAGCAUAAGUGUAUCCUAUACAAUAAUUAGGAUAUCCUUAUGCUUAAA
This 52-nucleotide microRNA precursor is filed under the name Marmota monax (woodchuck). Lineage: Eukaryota; Metazoa; Chordata; Mammalia; Rodentia; Sciuridae. The record is from RNAcentral.